Molecule: ribosomal RNA, 254 nt
Filed under: uncultured bacterium
Lineage: Bacteria
Description: partial 16S ribosomal RNA
Rfam family: Bacterial small subunit ribosomal RNA
Source: RNAcentral
CGGACGGGUGCGUAACGCGUAUGCAACCUGCCUGACACAGGGGGAUAAUCCGAAGAAAUUUGGUCUAAUACCCCAUAAUACCGAUAUAGGCAUCUAUGUUGGUUGAAAGCUUUGGUGGUGUCAGAUGGGCAUGCGUGUAUUAGCUAGUUGGUGAGGUAACGGCUCACCAAGGCGACGAUACAUAGGGGGACUGAGAGGUUAACCCCCCACACUGGUACUGAGACACGGACCAGACUCCUACGGGAGGCAGCAUG